RNAcentral lists this ribosomal RNA (937 nucleotides) under Peniophorella pubera. RNAcentral describes it as "LSU rRNA". It matches the Rfam family "Eukaryotic large subunit ribosomal RNA", at positions 38 to 963 of the family's 3401-position model. The record is from RNAcentral. Lineage: Eukaryota; Fungi; Basidiomycota; Agaricomycetes; Hymenochaetales.
GCAUAUCAAUAAGCGGAGGAAAAAAGAAAACUAACAAGGGAUUCCCCUAGUAACUGCGAGUGAAGCGGGAUGAGCUCAAAUUUAAAAUCUGGCGGUUAUGCCGUCCGAGUUGUAAUCUGGAGAAGCGUUUUCUGUGCUGGACCGUACAUAAGUUCCUUGGAAUAGGACGUCAUAGAGGGUGAGAAUCCCGUCUUUGGUAUGGACUACCAGUACUCUGUGAUACGCUCUCAAAGAGUCGAGUUGUUUGGGAAUGCAGCUCAAAAUGGGUGGUAAAUUCCAUCUAAAGCUAAAUAUAGGCGAGAGACCGAUAGCGAACAAGUACCGUGAGGGAAAGAUGAAAAGCACUUUGGAAAGAGAGUUAAACAGUACGUGAAAUUGUUGAAAGGGAAACGCUUGAAGUCAGUCGCGUUGUCCAGGACUCAGCCUUGGUUCUCCUUGGUGUACUUCCUGGUUAACGGGUCAACAUCAAUUUUGACCGGUGGACAAAGGCUUGGGGAAUGUGGCACCCUCGGGUGUGUUAUAGCCCCUUGUCAUAUACAUUGGUUGGGAUUGAGGACCGCAGCACGCCCUUGUGGCCGGGGUUCGCCCACGUAACGUGCUUAGGAUGUUGGCAUAAUGGCUUUAAGCGACCCGUCUUGAAACACGGACCAAGGAGUCUAACAUGCCUGCGAGUGUUAGGGUGGUAAACCCUUGCGCGAAAUGAAAGUGAAAGUUGGGACCUCUUUGAGGGCACCGACGCCCGGCCCUGAACUCUUGUGACGGUGCUGCGGUAGAGCAUGUAUGUUGGGACCCGAAAGAUGGUGAACUAUGCCUGAAUAGGGCGAAGCCAGAGGAAACUCUGGUGGAGGCUCGUAGCGAUUCUGACGUGCAAAUCGAUCGUCAAAUUUGGGUAUAGGGGCGAAAGACUAAUCGAACCAUCUAGUAGCUGCUCUGCGAG